AGUGAACGCUGGCGGUAGGCCUAACACAUGCAAGUCGAACGGCAGCACAGUAAGAGCUUGCUCUUACGGGUGGCGAGUGGCGGACGGGUGAGGAAUACAUCGGAAUCUACUUUUUCGUGGGGGAUAACGUAGGGAAACUUACGCUAAUACCGCAUACGACCUACGGGUGAAAGCAGGGGAUCUUCGGACCUUGCGCGAUUGAAUGAGCCGAUGUCGGAUUAGCUAGUUGGCGGGGUAAAGGCCCACCAAGGCGACGAUCCGUAGCCGGUCUGAGAGGAUGAUCAGCCACACUGGAACUAGAACACCGUCCAGACUCCUACGGGAGGCAGCAGUAGGGAAUAUUGGACAAUGGGCGGAAGCCUGAUCCAACCAUACCGCGUGUGUGAAGAAGGCCUUCGGGUUGUAAAGCCCUUUUGUUGGGAAAGAAAAGCAGCAGGUUAAUACCCCGCUGUUCUGACGGUACCCAAAGAAUAAGCACCGGCUAACUUCGUG
This 492-nucleotide ribosomal RNA is filed under the name uncultured bacterium. RNAcentral describes it as "partial 16S ribosomal RNA". It matches the Rfam family "Bacterial small subunit ribosomal RNA", at positions 29 to 507 of the family's 1533-position model. The record is from RNAcentral.